This is a long non-coding RNA of Camelus dromedarius (Arabian camel), 1274 nucleotides long. RefSeq lists it as uncharacterized. The transcript is spliced from 2 exons. Lineage: Eukaryota; Metazoa; Chordata; Mammalia; Artiodactyla; Camelidae. The record is from RefSeq and is a predicted model, not a curated record.
UUUCAGAUGACAUGAUGCGGGGAAGGCUCUAAGCACCAAAAGGCAGCAAGGUUUUGGAGAAGCCUUUUUCCAGCUGGAAAUGGCCAGGGCACGUCAGGCGUGGUGGUUUGGAGACCCUGAGGUACAAAUUUCAAAACUUCCCUUAGAACACAUCAUCUCUGGAGGUAACUUCUUCAUAUCUCAAUUUGAGGAACUCUGGCCUGGAGAAUGAAGCCACCACGCCUCGGGGACCUUCAAGGAUGAGGCUCCCACCCAGCAGACAGCCCUAACUUAGCAGGGUGCUUCUGAUCCCAGCGUGCCAGCUGCACCACACUGCCAGAAGUUUCUAGAAGCUUAGAGUCUGUGUGCUGCCUCCCCAGCUUAGUUCUGCCUGGGAAGUACCCCCCACCCCUGCAACUACAUCUCCUUCUAGAAGAUUCUUCCCUGUUCUUUCAAGAUUCAGUUCACAGCCACUCAGAGGGGAAACCUUUCCAGCUCCCUUCUCACCCACAGAAAUGACCCGUCCCUUCCCUGGUCCCCACGGGGCCCUGUGCACGUUGCCUGUAAACUCACUGCCUGUUUACUAAACACUCUGGAUUUCCCCAUUUUCUCCUCCCAACCAACCUAGGAGGGAGGUACCAUACCAGUUCCAUUUCACAGUGAGAAAACUGGGUUUAGGGAAGUAGGGAAGGCUAGUAGCCGCCAGUCCGGGACGGGACCCAGCAGUCUGACCGCACUGUUUGUGUUUUCUGUUCAUAUCUGUUGGCGCAAACGCGUACUCUGAAGACAGCAGGGUCAGAUUCAUUGUAUUGACUGAUUGGGGAUGGGAUUGCUUCUAUUUUUAACAGCUUUAUUGGGGGUAAAAUUGAUGAACAAGAAACACAUUUCAACAGCACAAUUUGACAAGUUUUCACAUACAUACCCAUAACAUCAUCACCCCAGUCAAGAUAAUGAACAUGUCCCUCACCCCAAAGCUUCCUGGACCCAUUUCUGGUCCCUCCCUCCUGCCCACGCCCGGUCCCAGUCAACCACUGGUGUGCUUAGUCAUUAGGCAUUAGUUUACAUUUUCUGGAGGUUUUUACAUAAAUGGAAUGAUAUAGGGUGUAUAUAUAUAUAUAUUUUUUUCUUUUGUGGUGAGGGAUGGGGGUCCUGGUUUCUUUCACUCAGUGUAAUUAUACUGAGAUCCAUCCAUGUUGUUGCCUGUAUCAAUGACUCAUAUCUUUCUGUCGCUGAGUAGCAUUCCAUAGCAUGCAGAGACCACUGGUUGGUAUCACAAAUAAAACUGCUUUUGAACA